Long non-coding RNA from Anas platyrhynchos (mallard), 1458 nucleotides. RefSeq lists it as uncharacterized. Lineage: Eukaryota; Metazoa; Chordata; Aves; Anseriformes; Anatidae. The record is from RefSeq and is a predicted model, not a curated record.
UGGGUAGUCCCAUGUUCCUUUGGGACCUCCAUCUGGGUAGUUAUGGUGAUUCCCGUGGUUGGAGUGGCCACAGGAGGCACAGAGGACAUGGCUUUCUGCUGAGGAAGAUGCCGUGACUCCACAUAAGUGGGUCACAACCACUGGUUGAAGAAGCAGUGACAGCGCCCUCCCUGCAGGCCCUCACACACAAACAACUGUGCCACAUCCUAGCUGUCAUACUGUGGCCUGUUAGCUUGCUCUGGUCACUCAUGCUCCUCUGCUACACUAUGGGACAUGCCUGCACUGGAGCUGAUCACCUUGGGCUCCUGCAGAAGUCCAGCAGAUGUGUCUCCUGGCAGAAAAUCAGCUGAGAUAAUGAGAAAAGACUUCAACUUCCAUAUGCUGGUAUCAGCCCAGAUUUAAUGUGCUCCUCUGAGUGCUUCUCUUCGUCAAAACUUCUGUAGCACUCUGGCAGGUUUUCUCAACCCCUUCAAGAGAAGAUGCUCACGGAAAGGCUGCCGGUCUAUAAUUACUCUGCUGUGUCUGCUUUUCUGCUCCUUUCCCAUCAGCCCCGAUGAGCUUAAAUAGAAGUUAUAUUCUGUAUUUUCCCUCACCUCUCAGUGGCCAAUAUCAGUGAAUACAUUUGAUUGUAUACUUGUUGCUAAGAAAUGUGGCCCUGGCUGCCCUUUGGAAAAAUUAUGACUAUGUUAUAGAUCCAAAACCUAGAAGAGCUUGGGUUUUAUGAGGGAUACUGGUAGGACACCUAAGUAUUCCUCUUACAUGAUGGUUAUAUAGGAUGGGGUUCAAGUCUUCACAGGCAGAUUGGCAGCAAGAUGCAGAUGACAUAAACAGAAUGCAAAUAUGGAAGGAAAUCUGGUGGACCUUAGGUUGCUUCUGACUCUACCAGUUUCUUCUAGCUAUCUAGAAAUCUCUGGGAUUUCAACACAGAAAGUUCUUAAAAAUUAUAUAUAUAUAUAUAUAUAUUAUUUUAUACUUUUAAAAUAUUUUAACAUUAUUAUCAUUAUUAUAAAUUAUUUCAGAAAUUACUGUGUUUCAACCCUUCCUUUCUCUACAUGUUUCUUUUUCACUGAUUUAUUUUCUCAGUAGAGAAAAAAUAUAGCAACUAUUGGUUUAGACUACCAGUCUGGUGGAAAUCUUAAUCAAUACUCUCUGAGUGCAUAAGAGCCCCAUGAACAGCAUUCAUAGAAUAAUGCCCUCCUAAGAGAGAUGCAAACUGUACCAGAAAUUGUUGUAACUCCAUUGCACGGUUUAUACUCCUCUGACCUUCUUAGUGUGACUAAGUAAUUGAUCUCACUGCCUUCUUGGUUUUGGAAACUUUUACUGUGGGGAAAAAAAAAUAAAUUACAGUUUCCUUCAACAUUGUGUAAAAUCACCACUUUAUUAUUCACUUUAUUAUUUUUAACAUACCUCAAGGGAUGGAAGAAAAUAUAGAAAGGGACCAAUAAACUGAGAAAUAUA